CAGAACCAUUCGAUAAUGUUAUAAAGUUACUCAGAGCUUGAUAAUGGUCUAACGUAAAUCUAACGUUAAUCCUUCUCACAGAUACCCACCAAGGCAGAAUAUGGCCACUUGGAAGUAAGCUUACCUUUACUAAAGGAUCUAAUGGCUACUGGAGCUGGCAGCUUUCGUUCAUGAAGAUAUGGUGAAAAGGAGUAAGGAGAAGUUUGGGAGAGUCAGCCGGUCCAUGGAACUUGUAAUGACUCAGCGCUGAUCUAUGCCAGAUGUAAAACCCCUGCUGUCAUUGGUGAGGCUACCACUGCUAUU
Alosa sapidissima (American shad) is the source of this 303-nucleotide long non-coding RNA. RefSeq lists it as uncharacterized. The record is from RefSeq and is a predicted model, not a curated record. The transcript has 3 exons. NCBI's taxonomy places the organism in Eukaryota, Metazoa, Chordata, Actinopteri, Clupeiformes, Clupeidae.